Molecule: long non-coding RNA, 1150 nt
Organism: Tripterygium wilfordii
Lineage: Eukaryota; Viridiplantae; Streptophyta; Magnoliopsida; Celastrales; Celastraceae
Exons: 3
Source: RefSeq, a predicted model, not a curated record
ACCCGGAUUUGCUGUGCGCGUCCUUCUCACGCCUCCUCGCCCUCUUCCAAUCGAACGAUCCUUCUUCCCCUAACCUUAGAAGACAGCAACGCUUUCGGUUCUGGAGGAAUUAAGCCACCUUGGAACUCUCGUUACAUACUUUAGCACGCCGAGGCAAGGAAAGUGUCAUCCGCGGGACCGCCUUCAACAUCCAAUUCUGAAAUAUCGUCAGAUUUUGGCAUUCGGAUGCAUCCAGGGCACGGAGCGUUGCCGAUCCGAGCGAUUACCAGAUUCACCGUUUGAAGACUCCCAAGGGCUUCGUUUCGUUGACGAUGCCAUUGAAAGGGCGCGCAAUUUUCAGUCUCCCGCGAGAGCGUUGUUGAUCGGGGCGAUUACCAGAGUUACUGUAUGAAGACUGCCAAGGGCUUCGUUUGGUCGACGAGGCCAUUGAAAGGUAUGAUGAAAUGGUUAAUUACAUAGGUGGAAUACCUUCUUCUGCUGAAAUUGUUCGAGCCAAGGAUUAAAUUUCAGGUACUGUAGGCUCUUCCUUCACGAUUAUAUUUUGGUGGUUCUGUUUGUAGUUCAAUUUUUUCUUCCAUUAUACAUUUAUUUAAAUUUCCCUUUUAGAUGACUUUGCUUUUUAUUUUUUAUGUCGUCUCGACUCUCAUCAGUGCUUCUGUCUAUGUGACAUCUACAUGCAUUCCAAUGUAUCUAAAUGUCAUAUUUGAUGUCCUAUCAUUUGGCAGAAAAUGUCUGUGAGGGGUUGAUGGGCUGUGAUUUCUUUGUGUGGAUAAUUAGAUUGAUCUGAGGCUGAAAGAAUUUCAUUGAAUCAAGGCUAUAUUCUCCUGUCACUUAAUUAUUUUUUAAGCCAGUUAUUGCAUAAUUAGUAAGAGAGUCCAACAAGUCAAUAUCCUUGAACCAGAAUUUCUUUAUGAUUAUUAAUCUGUUACACUUGUUCUUCAUGAAAAUGAAAAACCAAAUGAAUAAUGUGAUCAACAUUUGGCUUACCACUAGACAAUUAACAUAUGGGACUGAACAUCCACUGUGAUUGAGAUAGUACAAGGUACCAUGAGCUAAUUUGUAUUAGUUGUACUUAGUUUGCAGCUCAAAGAAAAAUUGUAUGAGAAUAUGUUCUUACAAUGUUGAAUUCCAAUUCAUUUUCUCCCCUAAA